AGCCAAUUCCUGCUAAUAAAGUGCCUCUC
This 29-nucleotide non-coding RNA is filed under the name Mus musculus (house mouse). Lineage: Eukaryota; Metazoa; Chordata; Mammalia; Rodentia; Muridae. The record is from RNAcentral.